Molecule: long non-coding RNA, 1982 nt
Organism: Camelus dromedarius (Arabian camel)
Lineage: Eukaryota; Metazoa; Chordata; Mammalia; Artiodactyla; Camelidae
Source: Ensembl
CUGGGCUCCAUCGCCAGGACCUCCGUCGAAAGAAAGAAGCUACGUGCGAACCUAAAAUACCUCAAGACCCUAGGUCCAGAUACCACGUGCAGUACUGCUUGCUUUCCUUUUGCCCGCUGUCUUCACACGUACCCCAAACACGACCAGGUUUUUCCCUCGAAAAAUUCUUCAGUCCUCUGAAGUUCUUCUGGGCCCCGUUAGUUCACGGAAAGAUGUUGAGGGGGUUAGACUUCAGGUGUGCGGACAGUUCAAGUGUAGUGCUGUCGCUAACGUCUGUGUGCCUGCACCCUCUAGGUGACACGUGGCCCUUAAGCUCGGGACAAGAGGAAGACGUGGAGUCCCCUGACGAGGAGGAAGGGGCGCCCGAGCCAGAAACCGAACGGGAAGACACCCGUCCUGAGGCGAACGUAGCUGACGAAGGUGCUCCGGAGGAGCCAACCGAGGACGAGACAUUGACGUCUGCGCUCGCAGCAGACCAGCCUGACGUGUCCGGUGACACGUGGCCCUUAAGCUCGGGACAAGAGGAAGACGUGGAGUCCCCUGACGAGGAGGAAGGGGCGCCCGAGCCAGAAACCGAACGGGAAGACACCCGUCCUGAGGCGAACGUAGCUGACGAAGGUGCUCCGGAGGAGCCAACCGAGGACGAGACAUUGACGUCUGCGCUCGCAGCAGACCAGCCUGACGUGUCCGGUGACACGUGGCCCUUAAGCUCGGGACAAGAGGAAGACGUGGAGUCCCCUGACGAGGAGGAAGGGGCGCCCGAGCCAGAAACCGAACGGGAAGACACCCGUCCUGAGGCGAACGUAGCUGACGAAGGUGCUCCGGAGGAGCCAACCGAGGACGAGACAUUGACGUCUGCGCUCGCAGCAGACCAGCCUGACGUGUCCGGUGACACGUGGCCCUUAAGCUCGGGACAAGAGGAAGACGUGGAGUCCCCUGACGAGGAGGAAGUUUCAACGCAGUCAGAAAGUGCAGUGGAAUAUUAUACUGAAUACUUUGCAGAUGCUACUGAGGAACCAGCUGUGCAGGAGAAGAUCACAUUUGAUGAAGGGAUUUUAAUGUUUAUAUUAUUGUUUUGUAGCUUUUGUGUGAUUUUUAUUGUAUUAUAUAAAUCUACCCUUGAUGAGAUAUGGCGGGGUUAAUUGGUAUAUACUGCGUUGUAUCCAUUUGUUAAUUGUUUCCCCCUCGAUUCAUUAAACCCGUCUUUAUAGCUCAAAAAUAUGUGAUUUGUAUUUGUAUAGAUUGUGUUUGGGUUCUUAACCUAUGUUUUCUCUUAUUUCAGAAGUAUUUGUCAUCCUGUUUCUAUUGGUUUUUUUUUUUAUAAGUGUAUAUGUUAAUUUUUACAGUGAUUCUGACAAAAAUAUUUGAUUAAAAGGAAUAGUGUGUUGGUUUUUGUUAUUUUUUCUGUUUUCAUCUCUUGAACUUUUAAAACAUGUUCUUGCUUCCUUCGAAAUGUUGUAUUUUCAAGUAGAGCUGCAGGGACAUUGCAGGAGAACGAACAGCAUGGUAAGCAGUAUGAAAUACGUUACGUUCUUAUACCAUCAGUUGAUUCAGUUGUGCUCUAUUCAGGGCCAUCCCUGAUUCUAGGAAUGGAUUCUAUUCCUCAAACUGCGUGAGCAGUAUGCACUGUUUCCUGUUUUAAAAUAUAUCUACCCACCCCAUCCCGCAUCUCAAGUGUUUUCUCACCCUUUAUGCACUGUUCUUUACUCAUUUGAAUUGUCAAUGGGGCCCCACUGCAGAUUUCCAGGGGCCUUUCUGUGGUCCGCUCCCUCCUCGCCAGCCCUCUCUUGUCUGAUCUCUUAUCUGCGUUGGUUUUGUCUGACUCUCUGCUUCAUCACCUCGACUGAGGGUGUCUGGUGGGCCCUCCUACCUCUGUUCCCUGUCCCUGUGUCACAGCCUGCAUAUUCUCCCAAGGCCGUGCACUGGGGCGUCCAUUAGACUCACUUCAUGUGUGUUUAGGGAUCACUGUCCUUCAUUGUCUG